RNAcentral lists this unclassified non-coding RNA (133 nucleotides) under fungal sp. RNAcentral describes it as "partial internal transcribed spacer region". Lineage: Eukaryota; Fungi. The record is from RNAcentral.
AAAAGUCGUCAAAUGACAAAUUGGCAAGGAGAUAUGUGACGAAGGAAUGGUAUGUGCUUUUACUUCUCAAGAUAUAAGGGUAUCGGAAAAAGAAGAGGAGCAUUGCCCACCCACUGCAGCUUUGGCUGGCGAG